RNAcentral lists this long non-coding RNA (210 nucleotides) under Mytilus galloprovincialis (Mediterranean mussel). Lineage: Eukaryota; Metazoa; Mollusca; Bivalvia; Mytilida; Mytilidae. The record is from RNAcentral.
GUCCGGAAUGGUAUUAAUAGUGGUAACCGCAGCUAGAAAAAAGAAAAGUUUGUACAAUCACAGUUACUUUUUAUACUCUUUGCUUUAAUUUCUAUACAAUCAACUCCAAACUGUCAUGUACUGUUCAGUAACAUCAUGACAAAAAUAAAACAGGCUAAAUCUGAAGAUUGACGAGUAAGAGCCUUCCAAAAACGGAAGUUAACCUUUUUU